AACGCAAAUUGCACUCUCUGGUAUUCCAGAGAGUAUGCCUGUUUGAGGGUCAGUGUAAUAAAAAAAUCGUUGUUGUUACCACCAUUCGUGGUGACGCUUCGGAAUUGAGUCGUCUUACCUUUCGGUUAAGUGGCUUUAAAUUUUUUACACGAAUUCGGAACGUAUUUAAUGUAUUAUGUACGUUUAACGAAGUCGGUUAUUAGAUGCGGUCAUUUUAUGAUAUUCGCGUCUAUAAUUUUUCUUUUUUUGACCUCAAAUCAGGUAAGAGUACCCGCUGAACUUAA
RNAcentral lists this unclassified non-coding RNA (284 nucleotides) under uncultured Glomerales. Its description in RNAcentral is "sequence contains 5.8S rRNA gene, ITS2, 28S rRNA gene". The stretch from base 1 to 52 matches the Rfam family "5.8S ribosomal RNA", at positions 103 to 154 of the family's 154-position model. The record is from RNAcentral. Lineage: Eukaryota; Fungi; Glomeromycota; Glomeromycetes; Glomerales; Glomeraceae.